RNAcentral lists this small nuclear RNA (172 nucleotides) under Otolemur garnettii (small-eared galago). RNAcentral describes it as "U2 spliceosomal RNA". It matches the Rfam family "U2 spliceosomal RNA". Rfam says of the family: U2 is a small nuclear RNA (snRNA) component of the spliceosome (involved in pre-mRNA splicing). Lineage: Eukaryota; Metazoa; Chordata; Mammalia; Primates; Galagidae. The record is from Rfam by way of RNAcentral.
AUCGCUUCUCCGCCUUUUGGCUAAGAUCAAGUGUAGAAACUGCCAUCGUAGAAACCUUUGUUCCUUUAAAAAGAGAUGGAAGUAAUUCAGCAAAAUUUCACCCAUCCUUACAUAGUUUACUAAUUUUGGAUUGAUAAUAAAUUUCUUCACCACACUGAGUAAUUCAAUAAAU